Molecule: ribosomal RNA, 520 nt
Filed under: uncultured Glomus
Lineage: Eukaryota; Fungi; Glomeromycota; Glomeromycetes; Glomerales; Glomeraceae
Description: SSU rRNA
Rfam family: Eukaryotic small subunit ribosomal RNA
Source: RNAcentral
AGCAGCCGCGGUAAUUCCAGCUCCAAUAGCGUAUAUUAAAGUUGUUGCAGUUAAAAAGCUCGUAGUUGAAUUUCGGGGUUAGUAGAUUGGUCAUGCCUCUGGUAUGUACUGGUCUCACUGAUUCCUCCUUCCUGAUGAACCUUAAUGCCAUUAAUUUGGUGUUUUGGGGAAUUUGGACUGUUACUUUGAAAAAAUUAGAGUGUUUAAAGCAAGCUAACGCUUGAAUACAUUAGCAUGGAAUAAUGAAAUAGGACGUUCGAUCCUAUUUUGUUGGUUUCUAGGAUUGACGUAAUGAUUAAUAGGGAUAGUUGGGGGCAUUAGUAUUCGAUUGUCAGAGGUGAAAUUCUUGGAUUUAUUGAAGACUAACUACUGCGAAAGCAUUUGCCAAGGAUGUUUUCAUUAAUCAAGAACGAAAGUUAGGGGAUCGAAGACGAUCAGAUACCGUCGUAGUCUUAACCAUAAACUAUGCCGACUAGGGAUCGGAUGAUGUUAAUUUUUUAAUGACUCAUUCGGCGCCUUA